Molecule: long non-coding RNA, 436 nt
Filed under: Panax ginseng (ginseng)
Lineage: Eukaryota; Viridiplantae; Streptophyta; Magnoliopsida; Apiales; Araliaceae
Description: long non-coding RNA (PGIN_LNC014434)
Source: RNAcentral
UAUCUCGUCCUCGUCUUUCUCUAAAAAGUGAUUCGAUCGAUUAGAUUGAUAUAUUGAAAUAUUUCAUUGAAAGACAGAAUCCAGAGAAUGGCUUACUAUAUUAUACGGUGGAUUCAUUACAUCCCGCCUGAAGGAGAUACCCGACUUCUUUGGCUUUCGUUUAGCAGCAUCUCAUGGCUUCAUCAAUCAAUCGGAAGAGGAAGGGGACUGGGCUCGACACCAAAAGCACGUUUGCCAGUUUCGUAUAUACCUUCGCUCUCUGAAGGAAUUGUUUAGCCCAGCUCCCAUAUGUCAACCAUCAAAGGUUACGAUUGUACCACAACUUAACUUUCUCUUAACUUAUACGAAUUAUUAAAUUAUAAUGUUCGUUAAGUUAAUUUCUUAUUCCUUUUGGCUUUUUGGCAAGUAAUUGCCAUACCUCAGGAUUCAUUCUUAU